ACAAUCAUGCUUUAUAAGCUUUAUGAGUUAUUCUGUAUAAGAUAGUAGGGAAGUGGUAUUAUUAAUACUUAGUAAUUCAAAGAAUACAUGUAUGUGUGCUCUGAAAUAAGGGUUCUAGUUGGUAAAUAUGUUACAUUAAUAAUACUAAUGCAUAUUUUUUUACCUUUUAGAGAGUGUGCUUGUCCUGUUUUUGUAUAUGAUUAUUCUUGCAAUAAGGGAGACAAAAAAUUUGAAUUUGUUGAAACAUGGUCCCUAAAAUGAUUUGACCAACUGUUUCUUCUAAACAUGGGAAAUAUGAAAGUUAUCAGUGUCUUAAGGAUGAAAAAUGGGUUUACAUUAUUAUAUUGAUUAAAAAAAAUAGUUCUUCCUUUUUUGCCAUCUACUUUUUAAACUUAAUUAAAAUUUAACUGGAAAGUUUCCUAUUGAAAAUAUAUUUCUCUGUGUUAUUUAGUGCAGUUAAAUGCUAAAGGGCAAAUUGAAACUGUCUUCAAAUUAUGAGGUCUUUGGGGAUAUUUAUCUUUUUGCUCUGAAUGUUCCUUGUUGGAGGUACUUUUGAGCUCUUAGUGA
RNAcentral lists this long non-coding RNA (567 nucleotides) under Bos taurus (domestic cattle). RNAcentral's name for it is "long non-coding RNA NONBTAT019287". The record is from RNAcentral. Lineage: Eukaryota; Metazoa; Chordata; Mammalia; Artiodactyla; Bovidae.